UUAUGCACAUUUCUCAUAAUCCCCUGCAACUCCUAUUUCUCUAAGCUCUCCCCUCUUCUUCUUAAGAUCCCACUCUGACGCUACUGACGAGAACCCCACCGACUGCCGACCACAAGCUCUUCGUCUUCGCCCGUCUUUGUCUUUGAUCCCUACGAUGAGGUAAAAGAAGCGAUUACUCCCUCUUUGUCUUCACUUUGUCUUCGUCUUCACCCCUUCGGCGAAAUCAAGGAAGAGCCCAUCGACCUCAAGCUCUUCGUUUGCAGCCUCGGCUCUCAAAGAUCAAUUGAACCAAACACUCAAUUCUAAACCCUCGGUUUUUGGAGAAAAUAUAGCAUAGCGAAAUCAAGUUUAUCAUCUGGAUCAACAAUAAUAAAGGAUGACUUCUAUGGUACUAUGAGACACGAAUAUCAAAGAAUAUAUUAGAGUCAAAGAUUUGAAGCCACCAAUAACUAAUUAGACUUUGAAAGGUAAGAAAAUGGGUUCAUUACAAAGUUCGACAAUUAUGAAGAAGUCAGAAGCUGCAAUCCACAUCUUAUCUGAGCAAGAUAUGUUGCGGUAUAUUCAUGAGGAGAUCAAUCAAGAGCCUACAAGUAGGAAGCCUAAAAGAGAGGAGAAAUCAGACUCUGAAAAGCUCUUUUAACAAAAAAGUUAAAAAAGAGGAAGGAAGUCAACCCACUAUUACAUAGAAUGAAGCUUAUGAGAAGGUGUCAAAUAUUGAAUGAAGCUUAUAAGAAAGAACUCAUAAGAGUCGGCAUUGAUCCGAAGGCUAUUAAGGAUGAUAUUGAAAAAAGGUUCGCACAACCGAAAACAAGAUAGAGAAAAUAAAAAUGAGAGAAAAAUGAGAGUCGAGGAGAUGAGGAGCUUGUAGAUGUGAAAAUAACUAUGGAAGCCACUGAAAAGAAAAAGGAAAGGAAAAGGAGGAAGGAAACUGAUAAAACAUCGAAAGAAUUUAUUUAGGGGUUACGAGAAAAGAACAAGAGAAUAACAAAGAAGCCCAAGUCUUUGGAUUCUCCUUUCAAAACAAUUAUCCCUAAGAAACAAACUAAAGUGAAGAAAGCUCAAGUCAUGGUGGAAGAUAACAACGACAAGAGGGAGAAGGAAAAGGAGAAAGAACUUGCAAUUGCAUAUGCCGAUACGAGAAUAUCUAUCGAAGACUUAUGGAGAAGAGACAAAUUUAAAGAAGAAAAGAAAUUAUUGGAGAUGUUGAUUAUGGGUAUUCUUUUUCCGAAUAACUUGGAUAUCAGACCUCCGGGAGUCAUCGAAGAUGGAUUUUAUCAUAAUUUCACCGUUCAGAAUGUAGCUUAUUAUCUGAUAAUGUGAACAAGUGGCUUCAAAAUUUCUGACAUUAAAUGUGGACAAGUAAGUAUCGGGUAGUUAUUUAUGAAUUUCAUAUGAGAUAUUUGCAAUUUUAUGUGAUUCUUGUUUAUUCUAUGUGACUCUAAUAUAUUGGUUAGGAUAUAUAGUGGUUUUCUAUUACCUUUACUUGUUUCCUGUGAUAUUUACAUAUAGUCUAUGAUACAUAAUCUUACUCCUUAUGACACUUAUCAGUUGAUUGUGAUAAAUAGUUAUUUUUUGUGAUUUUUUAUUAGUUACUGUGAUACUUAUACAUUGAUUGUGUUGUGCAUAUUAUAUAGAAAGAGGACUGUUUAUAAGGUCAACAACCAUAGUAUAAAUAGAUAUAAUAUGCUUCAUCUGCUACAUGGUGGAAGAUUAAAGGACGAUGUAAUAUUUUAUUUAACUUGUGGUGUUAUUCAAAUUCUAUACUUAUACAUCGAUUUAUUGCAUUUGUAAUUGUUAGACUAUUGAAGCGUUGAUUGCAUGACUUUAGAAAUGGCUAAAGCUGCCAGAAAAUGCGAAACUGAAAAAAAAUUUGCAAUAAUCAUAUCAUACUUUAGUGUGAGUAAUAUCAAUCAUAAAGCUUGAACAAGUAAUGUUGCAUUUAUAUCUUAUUUGACUUUCUUCGUCUUUAUUUUUAAGAUUUGGUUGCUAACUCCUUUAAAAGUGGAUGAGAAAAAUGUUUAUGGAAAGUAUAUAAAGAAGCAUAUAGAUGACGGGGACAUUCUGUUAAUUCUAAUAUGUCACACUAAUCACUGGCAUGUCCUUGAUGUUAAUUUGGGGCAAAAAAUGUAGAUAUUACAGUUCUGCUGACCAUGAGACAUGGGCUAAAGACGUUGUGACAAUCCAGCUAUUUUGAGAUAGGAUGGUAAGUAAAUUCGACCAGGUGUCGACAUUCAGAGCAUUCUAGUAUGAAGUCAUUCCUAGUCGAAAACGAAAAGGCUCGUACGGUUGUGGCAUGCACACAUAUUUAUACAUUAAAGGGAUUUUAGAAGGAAAGGAGGUGAUGGAUAUUGAAUCUUGUGAAAGGGAGUCUAAAAGAUUAAGAAUAAGACUUGCUGCUCAAAUUACAUGUGAAGGUUGAGAAUUGAAGAAGCUGGGACUGAAGUUAGAUGCAAAUAAUCUAGAAUAUCUUUUGUAUUUUGGGGAUAAAUGAUGUACCAUUUAUUGAGUAGAAGUAUUAGACAAUAUAACAUAACUCUAUGCUGGAUAUGAUGAAUUCUUUUGUAAUUUUUUAGACUCAUGGUGACAAUGAUGAAA
Long non-coding RNA from Asparagus officinalis (garden asparagus), 2595 nucleotides. RefSeq lists it as uncharacterized. The record is from RefSeq and is a predicted model, not a curated record. The transcript has 5 exons. NCBI's taxonomy places the organism in Eukaryota, Viridiplantae, Streptophyta, Magnoliopsida, Asparagales, Asparagaceae.